This 386-nucleotide ribosomal RNA is filed under the name uncultured bacterium. RNAcentral's name for it is "bacterial SSU rRNA". It matches the Rfam family "Bacterial small subunit ribosomal RNA", at positions 29 to 416 of the family's 1533-position model. The record is from RNAcentral.
AUUGAACGCUGGCGGCAUGCCUUACACAUGCAAGUCGAACGGCAGCGCGGGAGCAAUCCUGGCGGCGAGUGGCGAACGGGUGAGUAAUAUAUCGGAACGUGCCCAGUAGUGGGGGAUAGCCCGGCGAAAGCCGGAUUAAUACCGCAUGAGACCUGAGGGUGAAAGCGGGGGAUCGCAAGACCUCGCGCUAUUGGAGCGGCCGAUAUCAGAUUAGCUAGUUGGUGGGGUAAAGGCCUACCAAGGCAACGAUCUGUAGUUGGUCUGAGAGGACGACCAGCCACACUGGGACUGAGACACGGCCCAGACUCCUACGGGAGGCAGCAGUGGGGAAUUUUGGACAAUGGGCGCAAGCCUGAUCCAGCCAUGCCGCGUGUGUGAAGAAGGCC